AGUUACUGGCGAAUCCAAACAGAAUCUAACAUGAGCUUGGCACCAUUUUUUCGAUUGCCAUGAAUUAGGGAAAGGGUUGUGGGCUUGGCAUGCCGUGGAGAGUGUUCACAGACUAGUGUAAGGGAUGGGAAGCUUAAAAAGGAUUAUUCUUGGCUUUAAUUAAGUCCUUGUGCGAUAAGCCAAACACCAAUUGAAGAGAAAUGGGUCACUAACAAUAAAGAUCAAGUUGAACGGAAUAUUAAAAAUUAUUACUUUUUUUUAAUAGUUAUUUUCUUCUCUAAUGGUAUUUUACCUUUGAUUGCA
This is a long non-coding RNA of Magnolia sinica, 303 nucleotides long. RefSeq lists it as uncharacterized. The transcript has 2 exons. NCBI's taxonomy places the organism in Eukaryota, Viridiplantae, Streptophyta, Magnoliopsida, Magnoliales, Magnoliaceae. The record is from RefSeq and is a predicted model, not a curated record.